GGUACCUUUCUUGGCUGAUCCCUUUCGCUUUAUGGCGUGCUCAUUUGGGUUGGGCGUCGGCUAAGAGUGUUUGGAUCGUGGAUUAACUCCAGUCUCCAAUCAGGUAAUUUCCAGCCUUAGAUGGAUCGAGGCUGCGAGGGGCUCAGAGGAAGCCACACACACUGUUUAUGUUAUAGUUUUGAUUAUUGCUUUUAAAUAGUUUUAUGUGGGUUGUAGUAAAGCCGUUGUAAUUUCCUGGAUUUCAAAUUUGGAAUUUUAUUUAUUGUUCUUAUAAUUGCUAGUAUUAGAACACGGUUUUCCAAAACAACUACUGUUGUUCAAAACAUUACGUAACCACAAUUGUUUUUAAA
Long non-coding RNA from Gossypium arboreum, 350 nucleotides. RefSeq lists it as uncharacterized. The transcript is spliced from 2 exons. The record is from RefSeq and is a predicted model, not a curated record. NCBI's taxonomy places the organism in Eukaryota, Viridiplantae, Streptophyta, Magnoliopsida, Malvales, Malvaceae.